RNAcentral lists this ribosomal RNA (482 nucleotides) under uncultured bacterium. RNAcentral describes it as "partial 16S ribosomal RNA". It matches the Rfam family "Bacterial small subunit ribosomal RNA", at positions 30 to 507 of the family's 1533-position model. The record is from RNAcentral.
AUUGAACGCUGGCGGCAUGCCUUACACAUGCAAGUCGAACGGUAACGGGCCUUCGGGUGCCGACGAGUGGCGAACGGGUGCGUAAUACAUCGGAACGUGCCCGAUCGUGGGGGAUAACGAGGCGAAAGCUUUGCUAAUACCGCAUACGAUCUACGGAUGAAAGCAGGGGACCGCAAGGCCUUGCGCGGACGGAGCGGCCGAUGGCAGAUGAGGUAGUUGGUGGGAUAAAAGCUUACCAAGCCGACGAUCUGUAGCUGGUCUGAGAGGAUGAUCAGCCACACUGGGACUGAGACACGGCCCAGACUCCUACGGGAGGCAGCAGUGGGGAAUUUUGGACAAUGGGCGCAAGCCUGAUCCAGCCAUGCCGCGUGCAGGAUGAAGGCCUUCGGGUUGUAAACUGCUUUUGUACGGAACGAAAAGCCUUCUUUUAAUACAGGAGGGUCAUGACGGUACCGGAAGAAUAAGCACCGGCUAACUACGUG